CAUACCAUGCUGAAUAUAUCGGUUCUCGUUAGAUCACCGAAGUCAAGCAUCAUUGGGCGCGGUCAGUACUUGGGAAGGUGACCACCUGGGAACCCCGCGUGCCGUU
Molecule: ribosomal RNA, 106 nt
Filed under: Caerostris extrusa
Lineage: Eukaryota; Metazoa; Arthropoda; Arachnida; Araneae; Araneidae
Source: RNAcentral